Molecule: ribosomal RNA, 288 nt
Filed under: Pseudomonas sp. FC6
Lineage: Bacteria; Pseudomonadati; Pseudomonadota; Gammaproteobacteria; Pseudomonadales; Pseudomonadaceae
Description: partial 16S ribosomal RNA
Rfam family: Bacterial small subunit ribosomal RNA
Source: RNAcentral
AGGCCUAACACAUGCAAGUCGAGCGGAAGAGAGAAGCUUGCUCCUCUAGAGAGCGGCGGACGGGUGAGUAAUGCCUAGGAAUCUGCCUGGUAGUGGGGGAUAACGUUCGGAAACGGACGCUAAUACCGCAUACGUCCUACGGGAGAAAGCAGGGGACCUUCGGGCCUUGCGCUAUCAGAUGAGCCUAGGUCGGAUUAGCUAGUUGGUGAGGUAAUGGCUCACCAAGGCGACGAUCCGUAACUGGUCUGAGAGGAUGAUCAGUCACACUGGAACUGAGACACGGUCCAG